AUAUAAACUGAUGGAUACUGAUAAAUACCCAUCAUCUGUCAAUGUUAUAGAACAUCAUAAAUAAAUUUUGACGCCAGAGGAACGAGUCGUUAGUUGAAUCAGGUUGAAAACGAUAAAUUAUAACCGUCAAGCGAUACCUUUACCUUAUCUAAGAUAUUUUUUGACACAUCGUUAUAACAAUACCAACUGUGCAAUUAACCGAGUGAUAGAGUAAUAGAGUCUGCAGUCAAUUAUAGACAACUGAAUUUUAGUAAUAGAUCCAAAGAAUGGAACAAUUUCAAAGUUUGCGAUAGCUUCUGCAACAUGGUAACUCAUCUGGUGUUGGUGUAGUAGAUAUGGACAACUGAGAGAAGAGGGUUGAAGAGAGAAGAAGGACGUAGGUCGGUUGCUUGUUCCACGUGUAAUUGAGGUGAUGUUGGGCUUUUACAAAAUAUAUCACUCAUCAAUCUCCAGUUAAACUAACGCCGAUCCUCGUCCAAUCAACCGAUACUCUAUUUUAAUCUAAAAUAUUUAAUUAAAUAUCUAUUACAGGAUUUAGUUUGUAUAAAAAUUCAAUCAUACUUCAGACCAACCAUUGCAGUUGAUUUUUUUCAAAUUCAACAUACAUAUAUGUACUUAUCGAAUUUUCUAGUUCGUCGACUGAAAAUUUCAGGAUAAAGUGUAAAAUGUUUUUUUUUUAUUUUAUUAAGGUAAAUGAAAUUAAAAAUGGAUAUAUCGUUAAAUAACGA
This is a long non-coding RNA of Microplitis mediator, 728 nucleotides long. RefSeq lists it as uncharacterized. The record is from RefSeq and is a predicted model, not a curated record. Lineage: Eukaryota; Metazoa; Arthropoda; Insecta; Hymenoptera; Braconidae. The transcript is spliced from 3 exons.